This 213-nucleotide ribosomal RNA is filed under the name uncultured Actinomycetales bacterium. RNAcentral describes it as "partial 16S ribosomal RNA". It matches the Rfam family "Bacterial small subunit ribosomal RNA", at positions 118 to 334 of the family's 1533-position model. Lineage: Bacteria; Bacillati; Actinomycetota; Actinomycetes; Actinomycetales. The record is from RNAcentral.
GGUGGUAUCUGCCCUGCACUUCGGGAUAAGCUUGGGAAACUGGGUCUAAUACCGGAUAGGAACCAUCUUUAGUGUGGUGGUUGGAAAGUUUUUUCGGUGUAGGAUGAGCUCGCGGCCUAUCAGCUUGUUGGUGGGGUAAUGGCCUACCAAGGCGGCGACGGGUAGCCGGCCUGAGAGGGUGUACGGCCACAUUGGGACUGAGAUACGGCCCAG